This 650-nucleotide ribosomal RNA is filed under the name Pelobates cultripes (western spadefoot toad). RNAcentral describes it as "SSU_rRNA_eukarya". The stretch from base 112 to 650 matches the Rfam family "Eukaryotic small subunit ribosomal RNA", at positions 1 to 587 of the family's 1831-position model. The record is from RNAcentral. Lineage: Eukaryota; Metazoa; Chordata; Amphibia; Anura; Pelobatidae.
UUCUGCAGCAGCUCAUAUAUAUAUGGGUAUACACCACGGUGGUGUAGGUGGAAGCGGCGGCGGUGGAGGUGGAAGAGGUAGCCAACACUGUUUUUUAAUUUUAUUAUUUUUUAAUUGGGGUAGCCCCCAAAAUAUUGGGACAUAUAAAAAAAAAAAAAUAAGUGCACUUGAGUAUAACAAUGGCUGGGUGAGGCCGGUAUAAAUGUCUAUUCUGCACAAGGUACAGACAAGUUUGGUGGGAUCCAUGCCUGGUUCAUUUUAAUAAAUGUGAGCUUGUCCACGUUGGCCGUGGACAGGCGGCUGCGCUUGCCUGUGAUAACCUCGUGCCGAUCGCACGUCCCUGUGACGGCGACAACACAUUCGGAUGUCUGCCCUAUCAACUUUCGAUGCAAUUUUCCGCGCCUACCAUGGUGACCACGGGUAACGGGGAAUCAGGGUUUGAUUCCAGAGAGGGUGCCUGAGAAACGGCUACCACAUGUAAUUACCCACUCCCGACGCUGGGAGGUAGUGACGACAAAUAACAAUACACUACUCUUUCGAGGCCCUGUAAUUGUAAUGAGUCCACUUUAAAUCCUUUAACUUGGAUCAAUUGGAGGGCAAGUCUGGUGCAGAGCGACUGACCCGUGCGUGCUGCAGCUGAAACUCCACUA